RNAcentral lists this ribosomal RNA (406 nucleotides) under uncultured bacterium. Its description in RNAcentral is "partial 16S ribosomal RNA". It matches the Rfam family "Bacterial small subunit ribosomal RNA", at positions 30 to 526 of the family's 1533-position model. The record is from RNAcentral.
AUCGAACGCUGGCGGCAGGCCUAACACAUGCAAGUCGAACGGGUGGCGGACGGGUGAGUAAUGCUUGGGCAUCUAGCUUAUGUAGGGGGCUAAGGACGGGAAACUGUAGCUAAUACCGCUUAACAUCGGUUGAGCCCACGUGGGUUUGGGUAGUGGCGGUGGUAAAGGCUCACCAAGACGACGAUCCCUAGCUGGUCUGAGAGGAUGACCGGCCACACUGGGACUGAGACACGGCCCAGACUCCUACGGGAGGCAGCAGUAGGGAAUAUUGCGCAAUGGGCGAAAGUCUGACGGAGCAACGCCGCGUGAGUGAAGAAGGCCUUCGGGUCGUAAAGUUCUUUCGGUAGAGAAGCGGUAUCUAACGAGGAAGCCCCGGCUAACUCCGUGCCAGCCGCCGCGGUAAUAC